GAAUUUUGGACAAUGGGGGAAACCCUGAUCCAGCCAUCCCGCGUGUGCGUUGAAGGCCUUCGGGCUGUAAAGCACUUUUGGCAGGGCAGAAAAGGUUCUGGCUAAUAAUCAGAACUGCUGACGGUACCUGCAGAAUAAGCACCGGCUAACUACGUGCCAGCGGCCGCGGUAAUACGUAGGGUGCAAGCGUUAAUCGGAAUUACUGGGCGUAAAGCGUGCGCAGGCGGUUUGGCAAAAAGGAUGUGAAAUCCCGGGGCUUAACCUCGGAACGGCAUUCUUAACUGCCAGGAUAGAGUAUGUCAGAGGGGGGUAGAAUUCCACGUGUAGCAGUGAAAUGCGUAGAGAUGUGGAGGAAUACCGAUGGCGAAGGCAGCCCCCUGGGAUAAUACUGACGCUCAUGCACGAAAGCGUGGGGAGCAAACA
RNAcentral lists this ribosomal RNA (423 nucleotides) under uncultured bacterium. RNAcentral describes it as "partial 16S ribosomal RNA". It matches the Rfam family "Bacterial small subunit ribosomal RNA", at positions 359 to 774 of the family's 1533-position model. The record is from RNAcentral.